Molecule: long non-coding RNA, 2644 nt
Organism: Felis catus (domestic cat)
Lineage: Eukaryota; Metazoa; Chordata; Mammalia; Carnivora; Felidae
Exons: 3
Source: RefSeq, a predicted model, not a curated record
ACUCUCUCAAAGCUUCUGUGAGAUGAGCAGGGCAAAAAGGGAAUGAGUGGAUGAUCACAGGACAUAAACUCAGUCUGUGUUUCCUGUAGAUAAGAACCAUAAUUUCUGGUCCAGCUCUCUGAUUUUUCUAACUUCAGUCCAAGAGCGGCCCAAGAUGCACGAAGACUCCCUCGAGGGCAGUUCAUAGCUAUAGCGGCCCCUGGAUCAGACUACAAGGACUGAUAUUGAAAUAAAGGCUGGAGCCCACAUGGAGAAUACAAAUAGUGAACCGAAAAGUGAAGAAAGGUCAAAGCAGGUCUUCAUCCCAGAUAAGAAGGACACAGAUGCUAUAUCUUUCAAGAUGGCAAUAAGAAGAAGACAGAAAAAUACCCUCAACAACAACCAAAAAUCAUCACAUGGUACACCUUAAACUUACACGGUAUGUCAAUUACGUAUCCAUAAAGUUGGGGAGAGGGGAAUGCCCGGACACCAAUUAAAGGUUUCUUGUCAAAAUCUGUUUCAUUAGACCCAAUGGAUAUGACAGGAGAUGGUCUUCUAUCAAAUAAUUUGGAUUCUCCAUCUAAUGACUUGAAUCACUUUGGGAAAAAUAGACUAAUUCACAAAUCUGGUACUAAUGCACGUGUAGGAAAAACUGUCAAGUGCUAUCACCUGCAGAUGACCAAAACCUGACAGCAUCUACUUUUGAAACUAUGCCAAAAACACUGCUAAUAACCUCUCCCAUUGCACAGGAAAUCAAUACUGAUAUUAAAGCAUAAGGAAAGAAGUUCAAAGUUGGGAAGAAGUGCUGGAAGAACACCUAUUGCUGAGACAAUGGGGAGCUGGUAUCGCUCCAUUAUUUAGGACAAGACAGACACACAACACUGGACAAAACUGAGUUUUCAUAUAUAAUAGUAUGGCCCCUCUUUACCCUGACAAAAACUACACAAUAUGCCUUUUUUACAUUUACAUACAGUUAAGUUUUUGAUAUACAGUUCUAUAAUUUUUCAUGAAAUACAUAGAUACAAAACAGUUCCAUUAUCCCCAAAAUUCCCUUGUUGUACUCCUUUGCAGUCAACCCCUCUCUCCCGCCCUGCCCAUGCCAAAUGACCUUUUGGGACACUGUGCACACACUACUGGGGUUCACAAUCACAGUCAUUUGUCUUUGGCCAUUAAGAGAUGGUACCACAGAGAUAUAUGAUAGCCUUUUCGUCCUAUACCCAGGCCACUGCCUACCUACUGCCCAUUCAGUGCCUUCACAGUCCACUACCAGAGCAAAAGACAACUUCUAGAAUCACAGUAUGACAAGUAUAUGCCAAAAAGAACAAAGAGUAUUGUCAUAUGUGGUCAAUUUCCUUGCCCAACCACUGAAGCAGCCUUUGCUGCUGGCCAUCUGCUUUCCACCAUCACCACAUCGCCUAUCUACUACCUCCCGAAAAGGUGAAGUCUCAUCAACUACUUCUUUAAUCUGUAUCUUUUUACCUUUUUGACAAUUUCUCUUGGUUGGAAAAAGCCUUAAAUAUUAUAAAUUUCACUAUCUCCUAGUCCAGGCUUGGUGUUAGUUAUAUUAAUAAAAGCUAAAGAAAUUUACAAAAAUGGCUGGCUCCAGAUUGGGGAGGCAAGAUACAGGAUAAACCUGGAACAUUUUCUUGUGCCAGAGAGUAAGAAGGUGUUCCAAAAAAUUAUGAGGAAGAUCAAAAAAUGCAGGAGCCAACAUGAAGGGGCUCCCAUGAGUCAAAUCUGUGACAAUUUCAGCAUCAAAACAAACAGAACAAUAAUGGGAUUGUAACCCACUGAGUAAAAUAGGUUGUUUAUUAUUUCUAAAUUAUCAAUAUGAGUCCAUACCAAUAAAAAUUAGAUAAAUGAGAAGGGGGGACUCCUCCUUUGAAGGAAAUAAACACUAAUAAAUGUGAGGAGUGAAGAAGUUAGAAAACUAUUAUUUUAAAACCAUCACAGUAAAUACUAGUUCAGGCAAAAACCAAUCAUAAGCAGAUGCUAAAUAAGGGGGGGGUGGGAUGAUGAGGAUUUGAUGUUUUCACUGUCUCAAAGUGUCUACCCACAGACUGGCUUGUUAGUUACAAGGGGAAAAACUGUAACUACUCAUCCCAGACAGUACCCUAACCAGAUGAUGAAAAUUUCACCAAUGAGGAACACAGGGACAUUGUGUGCCUCCUAAUGUGACAUCCUGAAAAGGAGCAUCACUUAUGCAGUACUCUGGCUGGGAAUGAACAAUCCAAGUCUCAUCACCAGAAAACAUCAGACAAAUCCUAGUCUAGGAACAACUUAUAAAAUAACUGAUUUGCAUUCUUCAAAACUACUGACAUCAGAAAAAUAUUAACGUCAUAACAGACUAAGAAAGGCUAAGGGACUAUUCCAGAUUAAAGGAGACUAAAGAGUCAUGGCAGCUGCAUGAAACAUGGGAUCCUAGAAUGGAUGCUGGACUGAAUAUUUGGAACCAGUGGCAAAACUGGAAAUAUGGAAGAGAUACAAGUAUUGUGUGAAUGUUAAAUUUCUUGGAUUUGAUUAAGCAUACAGUGGUUAUAGAAGAGAAUAUCCUUGUUCUCAGGGAACACACACUGAAGUAUUAAGUAAAGGGACAUUAUAUAUGCAAAUGACUCUCAAUGGUUUAGAAAAAAAAAAAAACUGUGUAUGUUUGCAGAUAAAGAAA